RNAcentral lists this ribosomal RNA (348 nucleotides) under uncultured bacterium. RNAcentral's name for it is "partial 16S ribosomal RNA". It matches the Rfam family "Bacterial small subunit ribosomal RNA", at positions 338 to 703 of the family's 1533-position model. The record is from RNAcentral.
CCUACGGGAGGCAGCAGUGGGGAAUAUUGCACAAUGGGGGAAACCCUGAUGCAGCGACGCCGCGUGAGUGAAGAAGUAUUUCGGUAUGUAAAGCUCUAGCAGCAGGGAAGAAAAUGACGGUACCUGAGGAAGAAGCCCCGGCGAACUACGUGCCAGCAGCCGCGGUAAUACGUAAGGGGCAAGCGUUAUCCGGAUUUACUGGGUGUAAAGGGAGCGUAGACGGCAGCACAAGUCUGGAGUGAAAUGCCGGGGCUUAACCCCGGAACUGCUUUGGAAACUGUGCAGCUAGAGUGCAGGAGAGGUAAGUGGUCUUCCUCGUGUAGCGGUGACAUGCGUCGAUAUUAGGCG